This 448-nucleotide ribosomal RNA is filed under the name uncultured bacterium. Its description in RNAcentral is "partial 16S ribosomal RNA". It matches the Rfam family "Bacterial small subunit ribosomal RNA", at positions 28 to 523 of the family's 1533-position model. The record is from RNAcentral.
GAUGAACGCUGGCGGCGUGCUUAACACAUGCAAGUCGAACGAACCUUCGGGUUAGUGGCGGACGGGUGAGUAACCCGUGGGAAUCUGCCUUCGGGCGGGGGAUAACGGCUGGAAACGGCCGCUAAUACCCCAUAUGCCGCGAGGUGAAAUGAAUUUCGCCUGAGGAUGAGCCCGCGUCUGAUUAGCUAGUUGGUGGGGUACAGGCCUACCAAGGCGACGAUCAGUAGCUGGUCUGAGAGGAUGAUCAGCCACACUGGGACUGAGACACGGCCCAGACUCCUACGGGAGGCAGCAGUGGGGAAUUUUCCGCAAUGGGCGAAAGCCUGACGGAGCAACGCCGCGUGAGGGAUGAAGGCCUCUGGGCUGUAAACCUCUUUUCUCAAGGAAGAAGACCUGACGGUACUUGAGGAAUAAGCCACGGCUAAUUCCGUGCCAGCAGCCGCGGUAA